GGGGGGGGGGGGGGGGGGGGGGGGGGGGGGGGGGGGGGGCGGACGGGCGGGGAGCGGGCGGCGCGGAGGUUAGCGGCGGACGGGGGAGUAACGCGUGGAUAACCUACCUAUAAGACUGGGAUAACUUCGGGAAACCGGAGCUAAUACCGGAUAAUAUUUUGAACCGCAUGGGUCAAAAGUGGAAGACGGUCUUGCUGUCACUUAUAGAUGGAUCCGCGCUGCAUUAGCUAGUUGGUAAGGUAACGGCUUACCAAGGCAACGAUGCAUAGCCGACCUGAGAGGGUGAUCGGCCACACUGGAACUGAGACACGGUCCAGACUCCUACGGGAGGCAGCAGUAGGGAAUCUUCCGCAAUGGGCGAAAGCCUGACGGAGCAACGCCGCGUGAGUGAUGAAGGUCUUCGGAUCGUAAAACUCUGUUAUUAGGGAAGAACAUAUGUGUAAGUAACUGUGCACAUCUUGACGGUACCUAAUCAGAAAGCCACGGCUAACUACGUG
Molecule: ribosomal RNA, 497 nt
Filed under: uncultured bacterium
Lineage: Bacteria
Description: partial 16S ribosomal RNA
Rfam family: Bacterial small subunit ribosomal RNA
Source: RNAcentral